RNAcentral lists this ribosomal RNA (484 nucleotides) under uncultured Glomus. RNAcentral describes it as "SSU rRNA". It matches the Rfam family "Eukaryotic small subunit ribosomal RNA", at positions 569 to 1058 of the family's 1831-position model. Lineage: Eukaryota; Fungi; Glomeromycota; Glomeromycetes; Glomerales; Glomeraceae. The record is from RNAcentral.
AGCAGCCGCGGUAAUUCCAGCUCCAAUAGCGUAUAUUAAAGUUGUUGCAGUUAAAAAGCUCGUAGUUGAAUUUCGGGAUCAAUUAGUCGGUCGUGCCUCUGGUACGUACUGGUUUUAUUGGUUCCUCCCUUCUGACGAAACAUGAUGUCAUUAAUUUGGUGUCGUGGAGAAUCAGGACUGUUACCUUGAAAAAUUAGAGUGUUUAUAGCAGGCUAACGCUUGAAUACAUUAGCAUGGAAUAAUGAAAUAGGACGUUCGACCCUAUUCUGUUGGUUUCUAGGAUCGACGUAAUGAUUAAUAGGGAUAGUUGGGGGCAUUAGUAUUCAAUUGUCAGAGGCGAAAUUCUUGGAUUUAUUGAAGACUAACUACUGCGAAAGCAUUUGCCAAGGAUGUUUUCAUUAAUCAAGAACGAAAGUUAGGGGAUCGAAGACGAUCAGAUACCGUCGUAGUCUUAACCAUAAACUAUGCCGACUAGGGAUCGGAU